RNAcentral lists this transfer-messenger RNA (355 nucleotides) under uncultured Catenibacillus sp. It matches the Rfam family "transfer-messenger RNA". From Rfam's summary of the family: Bacterial tmRNA, also known as 10Sa RNA or SsrA, is named for its dual tRNA and mRNA-like properties. Its role is to liberate the mRNA from a stalled ribosome. The record is from RNAcentral. Lineage: Bacteria; Bacillati; Bacillota; Clostridia; Lachnospirales; Lachnospiraceae.
GGGGUUGUACUGGUUUCGACGGGGGUGUUGAAGUUGGAGAAGCCAUCCGCAGACUCCGGAACUGCGUUAAAAGCUGGAACUUAAAUAUAAAAGCUGAAGAUAACAAUUACGCUUUAGCUGCAGCUUAAUGCAGCUGUGUCAGUCCGGGAUUGCUCACAGUCCGGGAAUCUGGCAUCAAAUUAUGUGAGGCCCUUUGCCGCCUAAGCUUUGCAGCGGUAAAAGAAUUAUGAAGCUACCAAGGCCAUAAGCCUGUCGCCGGGCGUAUGGACGAGGGAAUGACAAAACAGCGACUGUGAUGGGAGAUGCUUCGAUGGAGGUGCCUUCGGACCGGGGUUCGACUCCCCGCAGCUCCACU